This is a long non-coding RNA of Notothenia coriiceps (black rockcod), 1637 nucleotides long. RefSeq lists it as uncharacterized. Lineage: Eukaryota; Metazoa; Chordata; Actinopteri; Perciformes; Nototheniidae. The record is from RefSeq and is a predicted model, not a curated record. The transcript has 2 exons.
GAAAGAGAAGAAUUUGACCUUUGAGAAACACCUUAGGACCUAUUGUUUUUCAUCUCACUAUGUGCUCACUUUGCUGACAGACGGAUACAAGUUUGACAAAGAAACGUGGAAAAACAUUCACUUCCAAAAAGAGGUAAAGGACACCAACAUUGGCUGGAGUUUGGGUUACAUGCUGAGUUUGUCCAACAUGAUCCCGUCUGAAGUGAAAGAAAUCCUCCCCAUGACAGAUCCCCUGUUUGCCGGUCUUAUCUUUCUAUUUUCAGCACUCAUCAUCAUAACUGUUGUUUUAGUUUUCAUCUUCCUCAUUCGCACCUGCUACUGAGAGAAGUGCGAGAAAGGGAAUGGCCAUUGGAAGACUUGUGGGUUGCUGUUAUCCUUUAACUAGAAGGAGAGCACUACAGCAGCAUGUGCCUGCCAAGACAAUUGCACCGACAGUAACUAAGGGGAAUUUUCUAGUUUGUGCCAUUAACUGCCAUCUGUGUCAAUUGUGAGGGUUUAUAAAAACGUAAGAGACUCAAAAAUGAAAUAAAAUAAUCUCCAGUGUAUCCCGUUAGUGACUUUGAAUAGACUGGUUAUAAUAAAACGGUAAAAAACGUAUCCAAAGAAGACUUUCAAAAUGUUACAAUUGACACACACUCUCAUAGGUUAAGUAAUAGGAUGCAAAAACGGGUGACACAGUGGUCUAUGAAUGCUGCAGAGAUAAUGAAAGAGCUCCCGGGAAUUUCGACGUGCCCGUUCUUGUCGAACAUUGUGUAAAAAAAAGAAAGAAGCAUGAGCUACUGAAUGACUGAUUGAUUAUGUUGAUUCCCCUGUAUUAUACUGUAUUAUAUGUAGUUGCACUGUAUGGUUCCACUUUACAAGCUAAAUGGUAGCACUUUGCCAAGGCCAGUGUUUUAAAGAUAUACUGUACACAACACUGUAAUCCUGCUAAUAAUCUUUUUUUUAUAUCACAUAGUGAAUGACCUCAUUGAAAACCAGUGGUGCGCAUCAACACUCCCCAUUUAAUGAAUGAAAACCUCCCUAAUAAACAAUGUAUUCAAUGUGCUAUGUGCAAUUGUCUCAUUAUGAUUUAGCAAAUACAUGUUCCACAUAUUGAUUUUUCUAUUUGCUAAAUAUCAAUUUUAAUCAUAUUUUAUAAUAAGUAAAGGAAAGCAGUCAACUGUCACUUAUUAAUUUUUACAAUUAGUCUUUGUGUUGUUUUAUCAAUAACAAAGCUUGGGGAGUAACGGGCGACAUGUAACAAGAUUACGUCAUCAGGAUACUAAAAGAAGGUAUCUGAAUUAGAUUACAAUUACUUGCGCAAAAAAAGAUUAGUAGCAGGAUUACAGUGUUAGAAUACAUUUUGAAAUAAAUAUAAAUAUAUUAUAGGUAGACGCACUGAAUUAAUGUUCUUUAUGAUCUGAUUUCUGAUUUAUUUGAAUUAUUCUUUAUUUUAAAUACAUUUCCUAUUUAAUGCAGUAGGUGGACACCUGAUUUAUUAAACACAAUUACAAUCUAUGCUUUUGAUUAAUGUAUGAAGCUUAAACAGCAUUUCUAAACUAUUACUGUAACUACAUUUUUUAUGUCAAAUAUCUUGGUUUCUUGUUUUUUAAGGUAUCAUUGUUAAAUACACUUAAGUAAAGAACACCUUGUUGUUA